UCAUUUUGCGCCGAUUCUGUC
Molecule: non-coding RNA, 21 nt
Filed under: Arabidopsis thaliana (thale cress)
Lineage: Eukaryota; Viridiplantae; Streptophyta; Magnoliopsida; Brassicales; Brassicaceae
Source: RNAcentral